ACGUAGGCAGCGAGCGUUGUUCGGAGUUACUGGGCGUAAAGAGUAUGUAGGCGGUUCUCCAAGUCUGGUGUGAAAUCUCCCGGCUCAACCGGGAGGGUGCAUUGGAAACUGGGGGGCUGGAGUGCGGGAGAGGGAAGCGGAAUUCCUGGUGUAGCGGUGAAAUGCGUAGAUAUCAGGAGGAACACCCGCGGUGUAGACGGCUUCCUGGACCGUAACUGACGCUGAGAUACGAAAGCGUGGGGAGCAAACAG
RNAcentral lists this ribosomal RNA (251 nucleotides) under uncultured prokaryote. RNAcentral's name for it is "partial 16S ribosomal RNA". It matches the Rfam family "Bacterial small subunit ribosomal RNA", at positions 525 to 775 of the family's 1533-position model. The record is from RNAcentral.